AAAUUGAAGAGUUUGAUCAUGGCUCAGAUUGAACGCUGGCGGCAGGCCUAACACAUGCAAGUCGAACGGUAGCACAGAGAGCUUGCUCUCGGGUGACGAGUGGCGGACGGGUGAGUAAUGUCUGGGAAACUGCCCGAUGGAGGGGGAUAACUACUGGAAACGGUAGCUAAUACCGCAUAACGUCGCAAGACCAAAGUGGGGGACCUUCGGGCCUCACACCAUCGGAUGUGCCCAGAUGGGAUUAGCUAGUAGGUGGGGUAACGGCUCACCUAGGCGACGAUCCCUAGCUGGUCUGAGAGGAUGACCAGCCACACUGGAACUGAGACACGGUCCAGACUCCUACGGGAGGCAGCAGUGGGGAAUAUUGCACAAUGGGCGCAAGCCUGAUGCAGCCAUGCCGCGUGUAUGAAGAAGGCCUUCGGGUUGUAAAGUACUUUCAGCGAGGAGGAAGGCGU
This 455-nucleotide ribosomal RNA is filed under the name Salmonella enterica. RNAcentral describes it as "bacterial SSU rRNA". It matches the Rfam family "Bacterial small subunit ribosomal RNA", at positions 1 to 454 of the family's 1533-position model. The record is from RNAcentral. Lineage: Bacteria; Pseudomonadati; Pseudomonadota; Gammaproteobacteria; Enterobacterales; Enterobacteriaceae.